RNAcentral lists this ribosomal RNA (440 nucleotides) under uncultured bacterium. RNAcentral's name for it is "partial 16S ribosomal RNA". It matches the Rfam family "Bacterial small subunit ribosomal RNA", at positions 338 to 795 of the family's 1533-position model. The record is from RNAcentral.
CCUACGGGUGGCAGCAGUGGGGAAUAUUGCACAAUGGGGGAAACCCUGAUGCAGCGACGCCGCGUGAGUGAAGAAGUAUUUCGGUAUGUAAAGCUCUAUCAGCAGGGAAGAUAAUGACGGUACCUGACUAAGAAGCCCCGGCUAACUACGUGCCAGCAGCCGCGGUAAUACGUAGGGGGCAAGCGUUAUCCGGAUUUACUGGGUGUAAAGGGAGCGUAGGUGGCAGGGCAAGUCAGAUGUGAAAGCCCGGGGCUCAACCCCGGGACUGCAUUUGAAACUGUCCAGCUGGAGUGCAGGAGAGGUAAGCGGAAUUCCUAGUGUAGCGGUGAAAUGCGUAGAUAUUAGGAGGAACACCAGUGGCGAAGGCCGCUUACUGGACUGUAACUGACACUGAGGCACGAAAGCGUGGGGAGCAAACAGGAUUAGAUACCCCUGUAGUC